UACGUAGGGGGCAAGCGUUAUCCGGAUUUACUGGGUGUAAAGGGAGCGUAGGUGGCUAGGUAAGUCAGGUGUGAAAGCCCGGGGCUCAACCCCGGGAUUGCACUUGAAACUAUUUAGCUAGGGUGCAGGAGAGGUAAGUGGAAUUCCUAGUGUAGCGGUGAAAUGCGUAGAUAUUAGGAGGAACACCAGUGGCGAAGGCGACUUACUGGACUGUAACUGACACUGAGGCUCGAAAGCGUGGGGAGCAAACAGG
Molecule: ribosomal RNA, 253 nt
Filed under: uncultured bacterium
Lineage: Bacteria
Description: partial 16S ribosomal RNA
Rfam family: Bacterial small subunit ribosomal RNA
Source: RNAcentral